Molecule: ribosomal RNA, 546 nt
Filed under: Neophron percnopterus (Egyptian vulture)
Lineage: Eukaryota; Metazoa; Chordata; Aves; Accipitriformes; Accipitridae
Description: partial 16S ribosomal RNA
Source: RNAcentral
GUUGCCUGUGAAACGAAUCUAAGUUCCCCUUGAUUUCUCUCCACGGACCUCCCACCUAACCCCACAUAGUAAAUCAAGAGCAAUUUAAAGGAGGUACAACUCCUUUAAAAAAGGACACAACCUCACAUAGCGGAUAACCCCAACCCCCCUUCCCCGUAGGCCUUCAAGCAGCCACCAACAAAGAGUGCGUCAAAGCUCUCCACCCAAAAAAUCUGAAAACAGCAUGACUCCCUCCUCACUAACAGGCCAACCUAUUACAAUAGGAGAACCAAUACUAGAAUGAGUAACUAGGGGUACCCCUCUCAAGCGCAAACUUACAUCCUCACAUUAUUAACAGCCCCAACUAAUGUACUACACCAACAAGCCAACACAUUAAACCCACUCUGUUAAUCCAACUCAGGAGCGCUCAUUAAGAGGACUAAAACCUGCAAAAGGAACUAGGCAAACCCAAGACCCGACUGUUUACCAAAAACAUAGCCUUCAGCAAACCAAGUAUUGAAGGUGAUGCCUGCCCAGUGACUCUAGUUAAACGGCCGCGGUAUCCUA